UACGUAGGGUGCGAGCGUUAAUCGGAAUUACUGGGCGUAAAGCGUGCGUAGACGGUUAUUUAAGUCGGGUGUGAAAGCCCCGGGCUCAACCUGGGAAUUGCAUUCGAGACUGAAUAGCUAGGGUACGGUAGAGGGAAGCGGAAUUUCCGGUGUAGCGGUGAAAUGCGCAGAUAUCAGGAGGAACACCGGUGGCGAAGGCGGGUCUCUGGGCAGUAACUGACGCUGAGGAGCGAAAGCGUGGGGAGCGAUCAGG
Molecule: ribosomal RNA, 253 nt
Filed under: uncultured bacterium
Lineage: Bacteria
Description: partial 16S ribosomal RNA
Rfam family: Bacterial small subunit ribosomal RNA
Source: RNAcentral